AAUUAUAAAUUUUUAUACAAAUACGUUUAUGUUUUAGAAACUAACUUUGAUAUUUAUUAAUUAAACAGUUUAAAUCUAAAUAGUUAUACUAAACAAUAGAAUUUUUCUCAUAAGUCAAAAGAUUAGGUUUUUUUAUAUUGAUAAUAAUUACAUAUUUAUGUGAAUUUUUCUUUUAGUUUUUUAUAAUUCAUACAUUGAAAUAUAAUCAAUUUAAAUUUUAUAAAGAGAAAAUUUUACAAUGACAAUGUUACCAUCAACUAAUAUUGUAUUAGAAGAAGAGAUUGACAAAAAAUUUGAGCCGAGUGAAGAAGAGCUGGUGGAGUAUGCGAGGUGGCUGGGCAUGCGAUUGCCGGAGUACAAUGACCUGCUGUGGAUCGCACGAGAGGGACUCAAGGCGCCUUUGCCUGUUCACUGGAAACCCUGCUGGACGGAGGAUGAUGAGAUUUACUACUUCAAUUUUGAGUCGGGGGAAAGUGUUUGGGAGCACCCGUGUGAUGAAUACUACAGGAAAUUGUAUGUGGAGAUGGUGUCGAAGAAAAGUGCGAAUUUCCAGCAACACCGAGCUCUGGACUCUUCUUGUCUGCAAACCAUGUCGGCGUUGGAACAGAAUAAUGACAUGUUUAAACGACAUGAGAGACCUUCGUUUGGGAGCUCGGGACCAGAAGUACAGUCACCUGACCCAGUUUCGCCGGCGCGUCAGCUGAAUUGGGAACCUCCAUAUGCAGCGUCUUCUUCCUACAAUCCCAAUACUCCGAUGCACCAUUCUCAAAGACAAGACUCUCCUUCCCAACGUCUUGUGCACACAAUUGCAGAUGCGCAUGCAACUGGUGCCCGAGGCACUUCGGCCAGCCCCAGAGACCAAACCUGGGACAUGCAGCCUCUGCAGGAGAGCAUUGUUGCGGCGGAGCGAAGCGGUGGGUCGGCGUCGAAAGAAUCGAUGCAUCAGGAUGAGAAGCCCAGGUCCACUGACGCUGAGAUACGAGCUCUUCAGUCGCACGCUCGGCAGAACCUCCAUUCUCAAGAAAAAGAAAGAAGUACUAUUGUUGAAAAUGAUUCAAACCUAUCAAAAUUAGAAGAUUUCUUUGUGAUGGAUAACACAAAAAGAAGAAUGUUUGAUUAUAUGAAAGAUGCAAUUGAAUCACUUAAAGAAAUGUUGAUUUGCAUAUUUUCUUGGUGUUUGUCCACGGAUGAAAUACAAAUGAUGGAAUUAUCGCACAAUGAUUUGGAACUAAAAAUACGUGAGUUCUUAACACAUGGAUUUACUUCAUUCCAAGAAGAAAAAUUAAACAAGAAGGAUAAAUUAUUCAAAUUAAUAAAAGAUCAAUUAUUUAAAACAAUUGAAAAUAUAGUACAAACCCAUGAAUGGAAAGAAGUUUUGGAAGUUGUACAAUUGACAAAUGCUCAAGAGAAAAUGCCAAAUGAACUUAAAAAAAGUCAAGUUGAGCAGCAAAUGUUGUCUAAAGAUGAAUGUGCAAGGCUGGUCACCGAAAAUUUAAUCCCAGAAUUUGUAAAACAAAUGAAAUGUGCCAACCACGAACUUUUACUGCAAAUGCUUCAAACAGUACAAAUUGAAGAAGUUGAUUCCAAGGGUGUUUUGUUCGAAAGUUUACUUAAAAAGUUUGAGCUUGCAAACCCAAUUGUCAAAAACCCAAACCUUGUAACUGAAGUGCUUUCAAGUCUACAGAAUGGGAUGGACAAUCUGGCAGAAGUUUGUAUGCACAAAUGCAAACAAAAAACCCUAAAAGGAAAAAAUAGCACCAAACACAUCUUUUUAGGGCUAAUGAAUUAUUUGCAUUUGCCUCAUUUAUUGCAAAAAUGUGAACCAUGGAAACCCAAUACCACCAAGAUUUACAUGAACGAAACUAAUCACAAUGAUCAUAAAGAAGAAGCCAAGUAUAUGAAAACUUCCCACAAUUGGUUGCAUUCUCAAUGUGCACAAAACAUCAAAGAAGGGUUCCAUAGCGGGUUUCGAGAAGAAGAAGAGCCUUUAAGAAUGGAAAGGAAUGAUUUUGUCAUUGAAGGAGAACAACUUCAACAUGAUGUGGGAAAAAUCAAAAGGACCCAAGAUGCAUUGCAAAACGUGGCUCUUGUUGCGAUUCAUCCUAAUUUAGAGCUACCCAAAAAAUCCAUCAAACUUUGUCUUUGCAUUGGGUGUUGUUUGCAACAAAGCAAAGACAAAGAGAGUUGUGUCAAUCACUUGGAAGACAUUAUUGAAUAUGGGAGAAAAGAAUCUAAUAUAAAACACAUGAAGUCAAACAAAUGUAGAUUGAAACAAUGGAAUUGUUAUAUGACCUUAUUUAAACCAAAAUCUAAAGACAAACAUGUGAAAAGUGUUUGUAAAACGAAGUUCCCCCUCUUCCACAAAGAACUUAAGAAAUCAAAAGCUCCCAACUCAAUGAAAAUAUCAAUUGGUGAAGAUAAUAUUUUACAUAUGCACAGUGAAUGGCAAAAAGAACCAGUGGUGCAAAAUAAGCAAAUACAAAAAAUAAUUGCUAUACUCAAGGAAGAGAAAUUAAGCUCCAAAAAUUUGAAUCAAGAGAAAUAAAGUAAUAAACUUGCUAUGGUUAUUUCUUCAAAAGGCACAAAAUAUAAGUCAAGUUAUGGAUCGUCAAAACAUGACCACAAAUUCAAAUCUGAGCUAUUGAAUUUGUAUUUUUAUGUGUGUUUGUGUGUAUAUAUAUAUAUAUAUAUAUAUAUAUAUGUUCUAUUUUUGUAAGACAAUAUCUACUAUUAAAUGAUAUGUGUCAUAUAAAUAAUCAAGUACACACACUUAUAUUUUCCAAAAGUGGAUGAUUUCCUCAGAUAUAUAAUUCUCUCAACACUUAAUUUGCAAAUGACCAUUUGACUUGAAAUGUUAUACACAAUUUGUUAUUAAAAAAAUUAAGAUCUUAAAAUUACUCAUUUAUUUCUUAUUGGGAAAACUUAAUAAAACAUUUGCAUUGAUUAUUUACAACUCAAAUGAAUGUAUGAAAAAUUUACAUAUGUUUUGACACAUAAUAAAAUAUCAUUUAAAAGUUACUCUUAAAAAAACUUGGAAUAUUCAAUUACAAUAUUCUAGAUGAAAGUAUCUUUGAAAUGAAAUUACCAACAAAUAACACAUUCUUUUAAAGUAAUGUAAUCCAAAUUUUUUGUGGCAUAAUAUUUUUGAAAAUAGUAAUAAAGAAGAAAAAAUUAAAACAUACACAAAAAUAACAACUCAUGUCAUAUUUAGUAAUCAUAUUUUUAUAAUCAAUUAAGAGUGGUUCAACAUGAUUCAUGUAAUUCAUAAUGUAGAACCAUAAGUUUCAUAGAUUAAUUUUAAUAACGUGUUUUGUAGAAUGAUAACGACCUAUAUAAAUAUUACUUUGCAAAAGUGUUCUAAACAAUGACAUUACAAAACCAAUCCAAGUUUCGUUAUUCAAGUCUUUGUUGAUAUUUUUUUACAUGGCAUUGGCAACUCAAAAUAACUCCUUAUUUCAUUUGGUUUUCUCCUUGAAUCAGGGUGUAUAUAUAUAUAUAUAUAUAUAUAUGAAGAUAUACAAAUACAUAUAUAGUCAAAACAUCUAAAUAUAUGCAUUAUUAUAAAGAACCAAUUGUGUUAAAUGUAAAAUUUUAAUGAAAUUAGAUACUUGUUUUGUUCAAUUUAAUGAGCAACAAAGAGUAAGUUAUUGAUUGUAACUAUUUUUGAACAUUAUAGAUUAUCUACUAAUUUUAAAAGUAAAAAUUAAUUUCUUCUUGCCACAAUUUCAACCCUCUACAGGAUGUAAAAAUAUACAACUCUUUCAAUAGAACUCAUUGAUUGGCUAGUUUUCCUGUUCAGAAGAAACUCCAUUUUCAAGAGAAGUUUGGACACACAACACAAAGCCUCAAUACGAAAGAUACUUUUGGAGUCCUUGUAAAGAGAUCAUUUAAACAAUCUCAAGAUAUUUUUGAUAUUUAUAGAAAUUUCUCAAAUUUAUUCAAAGUUUAUUACAAGCUUGGAAAGGUUAAAUUUAUAUUUAAUCCGUAUCAAUCAACAUGCUUACAACCAAAACAAAGAAAGCAUUGAUUCUUUGAAUCUUUUGAUAUUCUUAGAGUAUUUUCUUUUAAGAAAAUUUAAAUCUUCUCGAAUUUAGAUUAUGCUAAAACAAUUUCCAUGAAAGAGUGAACUUUUCAGCUAUAAAUUAGUAAAAUAAAGAUUUUAAUUUUUCAAUAAAAAAUCAGACCAAAAAAUAUGCAUUAAAAAAUUAUUAUUUUUUAAAUUGGAGGCUAAGCAAGCAAAUUGAUUUUUUUUAGCAUGAUUUAAUUGAUUUAAUAGAAAAUGUGUAUCCAUAGAACAUGAAAUGAUAAAAAUGACUUGUGCCAAGUAUAAAGAGAUUAGUGAAUCUUAAACCAAUAUUCUACUUUAAUUAUGUAGAUAAUCGUCACACAAUAUGUCAAACUGUAAAUAAACAACAGCCCACAAAUAAUUCAAAAAGAAGUUUAUCACAUCACACAAAACUUUUAAUAGUUUGAUUAAAUGAUAU
Physcomitrium patens is the source of this 4484-nucleotide non-coding RNA. Lineage: Eukaryota; Viridiplantae; Streptophyta; Bryopsida; Funariales; Funariaceae. The record is from RefSeq and is a predicted model, not a curated record.